GCGGCUGUGGCGGAACUGGUAUACGCGCAGCGUUGAGGUCGCUGUGGGAUUUAAUCCCGUGGAAGUUCAACUCUUCUCAGCCGCACCA
RNAcentral lists this transfer RNA (88 nucleotides) under Alphaproteobacteria bacterium. RNAcentral's name for it is "tRNA-Leu". It matches the Rfam family "tRNA". Rfam says of the family: Transfer RNA (tRNA) molecules are approximately 80 nucleotides in length. Their secondary structure includes four short double-helical elements and three loops (D, anti-codon, and T loops). RNAcentral also lists the same sequence under 3 other names. The record is from RNAcentral. Lineage: Bacteria; Pseudomonadati; Pseudomonadota; Alphaproteobacteria.